Columba livia (rock pigeon) is the source of this 5928-nucleotide long non-coding RNA. RefSeq lists it as uncharacterized. The record is from RefSeq and is a predicted model, not a curated record. The transcript has 2 exons. Lineage: Eukaryota; Metazoa; Chordata; Aves; Columbiformes; Columbidae.
GUGCCGCCCCGCUCCAAACUUCGCACCAAUCCCCGGGAGCCCCCGCCCUCCCCGCUCCGCGCCGCCGCUCCCCUUAACCCUUUGCGGGGGCGGCGGAGGGGAGGACGGGCGGCCCGCGGGGCUCCGUCUGCGCCUUGGAGUGGAGGGACCCGUUCCGUAGCCCUUCUGCCCCCUUUAGCCCCACGGCGAUGAAGCCCCGGAGCAACCCACCGCCACCCCUUCUGCCCCUAGCAACCGACCCUGUCCCGUGCAGUGCCCCAGAGCAUCCCCCGAUCCACCCCCUGGAGCCCACGUAGCCCCUAUAAGCUCUGGAGACCCACAACCCCCCCAUACACCCCGGAACCCGACCUUGCCAAAUCACCCCUCUUCCCAGGGCAAGGAGACCCCCGGCUGUGGGAACCCACCCUGGAGGCAUCGAAGGAGAGAUUGGGCUCCUUACAGCUGGGGCAUGCAGGGGACAUGCCAUAGGGAGACAAUGAUACUUAAACAGGCUGAGAGAGUUGGGGUGUUCCACCUAGAGAAGAGCAGGUUCCGGAAAGACCUUAUUGCGGCCUUUCCGUACUUAAAAGGGGCCUAUGAGAAAGAUGGGGACAGACUUUUUAGAAGGGUGUAAUACGGCAAGACAAGGGGUGAUGGUUUUAAACUAAAGGAAGGGAGAUUCAGGCUGGACAUGAGGAAGAAAUUUUUUACACUGAGGGUGGCAAAACACUGGCCCAGGUUGCCCAGAGAGGUGGUGGAUGAACCAUCCCUGGAGACAUCCCAGGCCAGGCUGGACAGGGCUCUGAGCAACCUGAGCUGGUGAAGAUGUCCCUGCUCAUGGCAGGGGUGGCACUGGAUGAGCUUUGAAGGUGCUUUCUAACACAAACUAUUCUAUGAUUCUCUGUUUCUAUUAUUUGGGUGGGUGAGAUCCCACCCCAGCUCUGGCAUUUUGACCUCUCAGCUUGAACGCAAAUCGUGCCAGGAAGAGAGUGAACUGAACUAAACAAACUGGAAAAUAAACUGUGGAGAUGUCUGUUCCUUAGAUUAACUGUUACAAUUAUUUAUUAUUUGUUUUCAAAGGGGACUCAGCUGGUGCAUCUGCUCUUACAGCAAAUUACUCUCCGCACAGGAUAAAAAUCAACCUGGCAGAAUUCACCAAACAGACUAAACAAAUGGCAAGAAAAAAAGCUGCUUCAAUAGCUAUACUUGUAUAUCUGGAAAGAAACACUGUUAUUGAUGUUAUUGUUUAUUAGACCUCUUAUUUUAUACGCUCCAACAUGAAGGUUUCCUUGAAGAUGAAACUGUCUCAAUACCAAUUCAAUGGGAUGGGCACCAGGAGAAGCCUGAAACCCAAGCCAAGUAGUUUGAACAUCCAUUUUAUCCAUUUUGUUAGGAUUAUGAAAUCACACCCUCUGUUAUUAUUAUUAUUACUAAAUAUUUUUACUGAGCGGUUCCUGACAGCAUUAAAUCUUGAUAUACAAAAUCAAUAUGAAAAACAUUCAAGACUAAACAUCUAAACCCCUGAAUUAGAAAGAAACAAAGCAGCUGACAAUACCAUUUUUAUAUUUUACAUAUUUAUUUCAUCAUUUUUAUUAUUAAAGUUCAUUCAUCUGAGAAAUCCCAGAUGGACUGCUCCUCCUAUCAAGCAAUAACUUCAGCCUCAUUGACUUCAAAGACAGUGUUGACUGAGGCAAACCUUAAGGACUUGACCUACAUGGUCAUAUUCAUGCCAUUGAUUCUGAGCAAAUCACUCCAACUUGCACUAGAAUAAGCUCAACCACACACUACAUCUCAAGGCGAGAUGUGUAAAACACCUCUCUGUAACAUUUCCUCGCUAUUUCACCACAAAAGACUCAAGGUCUUUGUCCCAAGGACAUCACCAUCUAAUAUCCGUCCCCAAAACUAUUUACAUGACCUUCUGUUCCCGUUCAGACUGAAAUCCAAAGCAGCCUCAGUUCUGGCUCAGCUGUGGGACGCCUGCCCAUCACGGGUUUCCCAUUGGAUUAGAUGGACCCGACUGACGAGCUCCUGCUCGUUGUCUUGUUUUUGUGGGUCAUGCACUGAGAUCGAGGUUUAGUUCCCAUGCGCACGGUGGCAUUGUCAUCAUAGCAUGCUCGGAGACAUGGGUGAGCUCUGGGCCUGAAUCAGCUCUGGCCUGGAAGAAGGGACAUUCUUCCACCCCAAGCCCAGCACCAAGCAUCCAGCUCAGGUUGGAUACAGGAGAAAAAAAAUCCUCUGAUGCAUCCAAUUCUUCCAUCCUCACUUCCUUACUAAAAAAUCCCACGUGUGCCUUUAUGAGCUCCAACAUCUUCCAGGCUGUGGGCAUUCCUCCUCCCAAUAUACCUGUAAAGCAGCAAAAUGCCUCCUGCAGCAUUUCACCACUGGGAAGUUCUGGGAGAUGGAGGAUUAUAGAGAUGAUAAACAAGAUUUUCCAAAAGCACCCAGGUGCCUAAACACCUUCAGGUCCCCCUUAAGCCUCUGUCUUUAGGCCUUGAGAAGCCUUUUAAGAGUCCGACUCCAAGUGAUGUUGCAAAGGGAUUACGUGGGGCAGGGAAUGGAGCCCACAGCUUCCAUACCCCAGGCUAAAAUAACCAGAAAACAACCCCUACUGACUCCAAAAUGUCUGCACAAUUAUUAUGUUUUUGCAGGGGCCUGGGCGUGCCUGAAAGACAGUCUGAAACCAUGCUGUAGACUUCAUCCAUCUCAUUCCCAAUACAGCAGCGGAGGAAUAAAUGGAAAACAUUGAUACAGCGAAAAUAAUUAAUAAUCCUGAAACAGCUCCUAGUUUAUCAGAAAUAAAAUCUCGUGCUGUUUUCCCAAUACUUCUACCUAAAUAAGGAAACAUGCAGAGCUCUGUUUUUUUUCUGGGCUGGCUGUAAUUUGCAGGAUGAUUGAGUAGUCUGAAAGUCAACAGCCCCAGUUUGCUCCUGCACCCCACGGUCCUGAGACAAGCUGUGGGAAAAUGGCUUUCUGGAGCUGACAAACAAAACUGAAUGCUAAGCAACGAAGUACGUGUCUCCAUGCGGCCUGAGAAGCAGCCUAACAGUCCAUUUGUAUCCCAGUUGUCCCCCAAGCCCCGUUUCCAGGCCGUGGCUUUUCAGGUUUUGCAUAGCUGUGAUGGUCUAGUGAACAUCCAUCCCCAGAACGACUUUCCUCAUGUCUCCAAAACCACGAUUCGGCCUUUUUCCAGCUUUCUUACCUCUAUUCUCUCGGGAGAUACUCACCUCCAUCACUACAGAACUCCGUUUUCCCCAAGUUUUAUCCCUUCCAUCUUGAUUGUGUUGCCUUUUCUUUUCCUCUACAGAUGAUCUGGGAGACACAACACCUCUGGGCCGUAAUUCCUAACCUGCUUCAAUGCUUUUCUCAAACUGCAGGUGUAGCUGCAAGGUUGAAUUCCCCAUCACACCCAGCGCCCCCAGGAUGGAGUGGGGAGCUGAAACCAACACAGUGACUUGGGUUGGCAACGGUGCCUUGCAGGAGCACGAGGCCCCAUGGCACAGCUCCACAGGGACAUGCCGUGGGGACAGAGGCUGUGCGGGACCGGGUGGCUGGAUGCAGCUGACGGAGCACAUGAAGGUGAUGGAAGGGCAUGGCCAGUUUUAGGCACAUUCCCUCCGCCCGCCACCCCGUUUGUGCAGCUCUCCUCAGGUUACCAGGGGGAAAUCAGCCUCCCAGGGUUGGAUCGAGCAUCUGUCGAGGAUGCCAGAGCAAGGGGAUUGCUCUGGACAUGGGGAAAGGAAAGGUAUGCACAAGGAAGGGGUUUGGAUCAAGCAAUACAGAUGAAAGAACACAGAGAAGGUUUUGGAUGCCAAGUCCCAGAUCUCAUCUGUUUUCUCUCUGACUCGUCCCAGUAGGUCUAAGGGAAGAUAUUACCUCUCCCAAAAAAAAUUGCUUCCCUUUCACCUGACGAAUGCAUCACCAUGAUGGCUAUAGCAGGAAUAAACCACCUCUGACAUUCAGCACACUCUUUCCAACCUCCCAGAAGCUGCUGAGAUAUUUAGAUGAGGAAUAUGGUUUAAAAAGAUUAUGGCAGACCAGGUUGCCACUUGUUUGAAAGAGCUAUACACCUUCUGCUUUCUUUAAUUGCAACUCAUUCUUCUUUCCCACAUCCCUUUGCAUCACCUUAAGCAAUUUGCUUAUGCUCUGGACUUUUUUCCACUCUUAAAUGUUUGCAGGCAACUCCCUUACUCAGCGUUUGCUCAAACUACAAGUAGUUAAAGUUUCCAAAUGUUCUCCAUAAACACAUCCUUCCUCAGGCCCCUUAUUCUUUAUAUCACUCAACACUGGUUUCUUGGAGUCAGUCUGACACUGAUGUAUGAAGGAUUUGAUUUUGCUUUCCUUUUACAUCUGGCUAGUACAAGAAUAAUCCCACUGGAGCCAUUGGAAUCGUUGUAAGUGAGAAAAAAACCUGAUCAAGCCAACAGACUCGUCUGUGCAGCAGCUUUUCAGUCCAGGUAGCAGGAGCUUAAGACUCAGAAUGUCCAUCCUCAAAUUGAAAUAUCUCAUUUGCAGAGGUGACCACAGUUUUGAAGGCCUAAAUCUCCUCUCAUUGCUCCCUCAUAUCGUCCUCCUGUGCAAGGAAGUUUGUCUGUACACAACGAUGCAAAGGGAUGUAGUGAACAUGAAAAAAGAAAUGUGAAAAAUAGUAAUUAAAACAAACAAACCACAACACAAGAUCAACAGAGUGAAAACAGAAAUGUCAAGUAUUAGUUGCUGCAGCGAAGUGAGGAAUGUUAAGGGAAACUGUUUGGGGAUUUAUGUUCAAAAAAAUAAGACAACUUCCCAGACUAUUUCCUUUCAAAUCUCUCUGCAUUUUCCAUAAAUUCCAUGUGCCUGUGUGGUGCUCUCUGAUAACAUACAAAUCUGUGUGUAUAAACUGUUUUGAAAUGUUUGUAGAGUUUUAUCCAAAAAUAUGACUAUAUGUUUGUGUUUUAAUUGUCAGCAAUAGGAUAUUAGGCAAUAGCCACAUGCAUCAUGUCAGGGGCACUGGCUAAGUUUAGGUGGUACUAGCACAACCUCCCCCUUUCUGGCUGGAUCUCCAUAACAAAUAGUAACUGUAUUAUUUGAAGGAAGAACCUGCAAUCAAGCAGGAUCCAAGUAUUAUAGAUAACAGCACAGCCCCUGCUCUCAGUGACCGAGGUGCCAGUCCAGACAAAUCCACUGAAACCAGUAAAGCCACUUCAGAUUCAUACACCUACAACCAGGAGCAGAAAUUUGCUGAUUUCCAGGUCAGGCAUUAGAGUUUUUGCAGCUCUCUGAGUGGAGCAUCUCCCUUCUGAGGAAAGGCUGAGGGACCUGGGGCUCUUUCGUUUGGAGGAGACUGAGGGUGACCUCAUUAAUGGUUAUAAAUACAUAAAGGGUGAGUGUCAUGAGGAUGGAGCCAGGCUCUUCUUGGUGACAAUCAGUGAUAGGACAAGGGACAAUGGGUACAAACUGGGACACAGGAGGUUCUGCUUAAAUAUGAGAAGAAACUUCUUCACGGUGAGGGUGACAGAGCCUGGACCAGGCUGCCCGAGGGGGUUGUGGAGUCUCCUUCUCUGCAGACAUUCAAAAUCCACCUGGACACCAUCCUGUGUAACCUCAUCUGGGUGUUCCUGCUCCGGUGGGGGGAUUGGACUGGAUGAUCUUUUGAGGCCCCUUCUAAUCCCUGAUAUUCUGUGAUUCUCUGAUUUUUGGGUGGGGGGUUGGAACGACACUUUGCUUCAAUCAGUGUUGUUUGAAAUGUCUUUCAUUUAUUAGCAUUCUUGCUGAAGCCGAACAUUAGUUCCACUUUAUCAGGAAUAUAAUGCAGCUGCAUUUUCUGGAUGGGAACACCACCAAAAUAUGUUAACUAUAUAGUCGACAGCUAUGCCUUGUUUACUCUCAUGUGUAAAACCAUACAGAAACAAUCCUCUUAGGAAGUCUCUUCUUUUUCUCUAUCUGUGUGCAAAUAAAAACAAAUGGAGAGGC